UGUAGCUCAGGUGGUUAGAGCGCACCCCUGAUAAGGGUGAGGUCGGUGGUUCAAGUCCACUCACACA
Molecule: transfer RNA, 67 nt
Filed under: Escherichia coli
Lineage: Bacteria; Pseudomonadati; Pseudomonadota; Gammaproteobacteria; Enterobacterales; Enterobacteriaceae
Description: tRNA-Ile
Rfam family: tRNA
About the family: Transfer RNA (tRNA) molecules are approximately 80 nucleotides in length. Their secondary structure includes four short double-helical elements and three loops (D, anti-codon, and T loops).
Source: RNAcentral